Molecule: ribosomal RNA, 1426 nt
Filed under: bacterium
Lineage: Bacteria
Description: bacterial SSU rRNA
Rfam family: Bacterial small subunit ribosomal RNA
Source: RNAcentral
CAGCUACACAUGCAGUCGAGCGGUAGCACAGAGAGCUUGCUCUCGGGUGACGAGCGGCGGACGGGUGAGUAAUGUCUGGGAAACUGCCUGAUGGAGGGGGAUAACUACUGGAAACGGUAGCUAAUACCGCAUAAUGUCGCAAGACCAAAGAGGGGGACCUUCGGGCCUCUUGCCAUCAGAUGUGCCCAGAUGGGAUUAGCUAGUAGGUGGGGUAACGGCUCACCUAGGCGACGAUCCCUAGCUGGUCUGAGAGGAUGACCAGCCACACUGGAACUGAGACACGGUCCAGACUCCUACGGGAGGCAGCAGUGGGGAAUAUUGCACAAUGGGCGCAAGCCUGAUGCAGCCAUGCCGCGUGUAUGAAGAAGGCCUUCGGGUUGUAAAGUACUUUCAGCGGGGAGGAAGGUGUUGAGGUUAAUAACCUCAGCAAUUGACGUUACCCGCAGAAGAAGCACCGGCUAACUCCGUGCCAGCAGCCGCGGUAAUACGGAGGGUGCAAGCGUUAAUCGGAAUUACUGGGCGUAAAGCGCACGCAGGCGGUCUGUCAAGUCGGAUGUGAAAUCCCCGGGCUCAACCUGGGAACUGCAUUCGAAACUGGCAGGCUAGAGUCUUGUAGAGGGGGGUAGAAUUCCAGGUGUAGCGGUGAAAUGCGUAGAGAUCUGGAGGAAUACCGGUGGCGAAGGCGGCCCCCUGGACAAAGACUGACGCUCAGGUGCGAAAGCGUGGGGAGCAAACAGGAUUAGAUACCCUGGUAGUCCACGCCGUAAACGAUGUCGACUUGGAGGUUGUGCCCUUGAGGCGUGGCUUCCGGAGCUAACGCGUUAAGUCGACCGCCUGGGGAGUACGGCCGCAAGGUUAAAACUCAAAUGAAUUGACGGGGGCCCGCACAAGCGGUGGAGCAUGUGGUUUAAUUCGAUGCAACGCGAAGAACCUUACCUACUCUUGACAUCCAGAGAACUUUCCAGAGAUGGAUUGGUGCCUUCGGGAACUCUGAGACAGGUGCUGCAUGGCUGUCGUCAGCUCGUGUUGUGAAAUGUUGGGUUAAGUCCCGCAACGAGCGCAACCCUUAUCCUUUGUUGCCAGCGGUCCGGCCGGGAACUCAAAGGAGACUGCCAGUGAUAAACUGGAGGAAGGUGGGGAUGACGUCAAGUCAUCAUGGCCCUUACGAGUAGGGCUACACACGUGCUACAAUGGCGCAUACAAAGAGAAGCGACCUCGCGAGAGCAAGCGGACCUCAUAAAGUGCGUCGUAGUCCGGAUUGGAGUCUGCAACUCGACUCCAUGAAGUCGGAAUCGCUAGUAAUCGUAGAUCAGAAUGCUACGGUGAAUACGUUCCCGGGCCUUGUACACACCGCCCGUCACACCAUGGGAGUGGGUUGCAAAAGAAGUAGGUAGCUUAACCUUCGGGAGGGCGCUACCACGUUGAU